This 468-nucleotide ribosomal RNA is filed under the name uncultured bacterium. RNAcentral's name for it is "partial 16S ribosomal RNA". It matches the Rfam family "Bacterial small subunit ribosomal RNA", at positions 28 to 507 of the family's 1533-position model. The record is from RNAcentral.
GACGAACGCUGGCAGCGUGCUUAACACAUGCAAGUCGAACGGAACGGCGCUUCUUUUGUGGGAUGCUCGAGUAGCGAGCGAAGGAGUAACGCCUGAGUAAGCUGCACUUGAUUGAGGGGUAUCCUCAUACCUGUUAGGCUAAUAACAGGUAGGAGCUCCUGCUUCAUGGCGAUAGGUGGAGAGUUUCGGCUGUUGGGGAUGGACUCUCGGCUUAUCAGCUUGUGGGCGGGGUAGUGGCUUACCAAGGCUUUGACGGGUAGCCGGCCUGAGAGGGUGACCGGCCACAUUGGGACUGAGGUACGGCCCAGACUCCUACGGGAGGCAGCAGUGGGGAAUAUUGCACAAUGGGCGGAAGCCUGAUGCAGCAACGCCGCGUGCGGGAUGACGGCCUUCGGGUUGUAAACCGCUUUCGCCUGUGACGAAGCGUGAGUGACGGUAAUGGGUAAAGAAGCACCGGCUAACUACGUG